Molecule: ribosomal RNA, 362 nt
Filed under: uncultured bacterium
Lineage: Bacteria
Description: partial 16S ribosomal RNA
Rfam family: Bacterial small subunit ribosomal RNA
Source: RNAcentral
CCUACGGGAGGCAGCAGUGAGGAAUAUUGGUCAAUGGACGCAAGUCUGAACGAGCAAAGCCGCGUGCAGGAAGACGGCUCUAUGAGUUGUAAACUGCUUUUGUACGAGGGUAAACGCAGAUACGCGUAUCUGUCUGAAAGUAUCGUACGAAUAAGGAUAGGGUAACUCCGUGCCAGCAGCCGCGGUAAUACGGAGGAUUCAAGCGUUAUCCGGAUUUAUUGGGUUUAAAGGGUGCGUAGGCGGUCGGGGAAGUUCGAGGUGAAAUUCCGAGGCUCAACUUCGGAAUUGCUUAUGAUAAUGUUCGGCUAGAGAGUAGUUGCGGUAUGCGGAAUGUAGGGUGUAGCGGUGAAAUGCUUAGAGAU